This 481-nucleotide ribosomal RNA is filed under the name uncultured bacterium. Its description in RNAcentral is "partial 16S ribosomal RNA". It matches the Rfam family "Bacterial small subunit ribosomal RNA", at positions 28 to 507 of the family's 1533-position model. The record is from RNAcentral.
GAUGAACGCUGGCGGCGUGCUUAACACAUGCAAGUCGAACGAAGCAUUUAAGACAGAUUGCUUUGGUUUGAAGUCUUUUAUGACUGAGUGGCGGACGGGUGAGUACCGCGAGGGUAACCUGCCUCAUACAGGGGGAUAGCAGCUGGAAACGGCUGGUAAUACCGCAUAAGCGCACAGUACCACAUGGUACAGUGUGAAAAACUCCGGUGGCAUGGGAUGGACUCGCGUCUGAUUUGCUUGUUGGCGGGGUAACGGCCCACCAAUGCGACGAUCAGUAGCCGAGAUGGGAGGGUGACCGGCCACAUUGGGGCUGCGACACGGCCCAGAAUCCUACGGGAGGGAGCAGUGUGGAAUAUUGCACAAUGGAGGAAGCUCUGAUGCAGCGACGCCGCGUGAGUGAAGAAUUAGUUCGCUAUGUAAUGCUCUAUCAGCAGGGAAGAUAGUGACGGUACCUGACUAAGAAGCACCGGCUAAAUACGUG